RNAcentral lists this ribosomal RNA (219 nucleotides) under Triticum aestivum (bread wheat). RNAcentral's name for it is "partial small subunit ribosomal RNA". Lineage: Eukaryota; Viridiplantae; Streptophyta; Magnoliopsida; Poales; Poaceae. The record is from RNAcentral.
AUGGCGUACUCCUCCUGUUUGAAUCGGAGUUUGAAACCAAACAAACUUCUCCUCAGGAGGAUAGAUGGGGCGAUUCAGGUGAGAUCCCAUGUAGAUCUAACUUUCUAUUCACUCGUAGGAUCCGGGCGGUCCGGGGGGGGGCACCACGGCUCCUCUCUUCUCGAGAAUCCAUACAUCCCUUAUCAGUGUAUGGAGAGCUAUCUCUCGAGCACAGGUUGA